Agelaius phoeniceus (red-winged blackbird) is the source of this 1230-nucleotide non-coding RNA. Lineage: Eukaryota; Metazoa; Chordata; Aves; Passeriformes; Icteridae. The record is from RefSeq and is a predicted model, not a curated record.
UGAAGGACUACAUUUUGUUCAUCACGAAAAAGAGACCAGUGUGUUACAAGAGUUCUCUGCUGACUAUUUCUGUACUACUUCAUGAGAUAUGAGCUACAAGGAUACCAGGGAAGGGGUUGCAGGAGCCCACACAUAGUCCCACCCAGAAAAUGGUACAAACAGAUAACUAACAGAAAUAACGACCAGGGAAAGGCUGGGGAAAGGGCAGGGGCAGAUUAACACCCAGCAGGGAAACCUUUCCCGCUGACAAAUGGUACAAGCAGAUAACUCACAGAGAUAACGACCAGGGAAAAGCUGGGGAAGGGGCAGGGGCAGAUAAACAGUCUGCAAGGCAGGAUAUUUGCUUGCUGAAACUUGAUAGGACACAUAUUGCGUUAAUCAUAAGAUUUUGGUAAUUUUCCACGGAGAAGUCACCAAAUAAAGACAUAGGGUGAAGAAGACGCGGCUGAGGAAGACUCCGCAGCCUUUUAUCACCGACCACCAGGAGACAGAAGGAUGAACCCCUAGCAACAACCAGCACAGGCGCAGAGAACUCCGAGAUAACAUGGACUCCUGAAGGAUGGAGAGGAUAAAAGGACUGAAUCAGAAACUAGUUGGUGCGGCAGUAGGUGGAGCUGAGACUCCCCUGUCGCCCAGCGCUGAGCCUUUGCUUACGUAGUAUAACUGCUUCAAUAAUUAAUAAAUUCUUUGAUUGGAAAUUGCUCGUUUUGAGUCAAUUUUAUAACAAUUUGGUGCCGUGACUCGGAUGAGAGUUUGGAUCGGGUAGGAUCUACCCAGAGUGGGGGGCGCCUCAUCCAGUGCUUUCUGGGUGGCCCCUCUGGGAGAACCUCCGCCACUCUCACCGACGACCCUAAAAUAUAUACUAGUAAGCAAACGGGACAAAUUAUACCGGUGAACCCCUUAAUUAUCUGUGCACGGAGUCCGGACGAAGACGCAGGACGCUCACCAAAUAAAGACAUAGGGUGAAGAAGACGCGGCUGAGGAAGACUCCGCAGCCUUUUAUCACCGACCACCAGGAGACAGAAGGAUGAACCCCUAGCAACAACCAGCACAGGCGCAGAGAACUCCGAGAUAACAUGGACUCCUGAAGGAUGGAGAGGAUAAAAGGACUGAAUCAGAAACUAGUUGGUGCGGCAGUAGGUGGAGCUGAGACUCCCCUGUCGCCCAGCGCUGAGCCUUUGCUUACGUAGUAUAACUGCUUCAAUAAUUAAUAAAUUCUUUGAUUGGAAA